ACGGGGCUAAACCAUGCACCGAAGCUGCGGCAGCGAACGUAUCACCCAAGACAACUUUACGGAGUUGACGAUUGACGGAGCGAAGCGACGUCAAAGCGUUCAUUAAAGUCGAGUUGGCUUAGGGAUACGUUCGUUGGGUAGGGGAGCGUUCUGUAAGCCUGUGAAGGUGUGUCGUGAGGCAUGCUGGAGGUAUCAGAAGUGCGAAUGCUGACAUAAGUAACGAUAAAGCGGGUGAAAAGCCCGCUCGCCGGAAGACCAAGGGUUCCUGUCCAACGUUAAUCGGGGCAGGGUGAGUCGACCCCUAAGGCGAGGCCGAAAGGCGUAGUCGAUGGGAAACGGGUUAAUAUUCCCGUACUUGGUGUUACUGCGAAGGGGGGACGGAGAAGGCUAUGUUGGCCGGGCGACGGUUGUCCCGGUUUAAGCGUGUAGGUGUGUGUUCCAGGUAAAUCCGGUUCACUUUAACACUGAGGCGUGACGACGAGGCACUACGGUGCUGAAGCAACAAAUGCCCUGCUUCCAGGAAAA
This 525-nucleotide ribosomal RNA is filed under the name Salmonella enterica subsp. enterica serovar Typhimurium. Its description in RNAcentral is "partial 23S ribosomal RNA". It matches the Rfam family "Bacterial large subunit ribosomal RNA", at positions 1175 to 1616 of the family's 2925-position model. Lineage: Bacteria; Pseudomonadati; Pseudomonadota; Gammaproteobacteria; Enterobacterales; Enterobacteriaceae. The record is from RNAcentral.